Long non-coding RNA from Gadus morhua (Atlantic cod), 986 nucleotides. RefSeq lists it as uncharacterized. The record is from RefSeq and is a predicted model, not a curated record. Lineage: Eukaryota; Metazoa; Chordata; Actinopteri; Gadiformes; Gadidae. The transcript has 4 exons.
ACAACACCAAACCUACUUAAGUUUUCAUGGAUUCCCGACUGAAAUGAGUCUAAGGAAGAAGUGGAUUCAAGCGGUUCGCCGGGAUGAAGGGCCAAACUUUAAAAUAAAACAAGUUAGCACGUUUGUUUGUAGCCGGCACUAGUGAAUCAGACUACAAACGCUACAGCUAGCAACCAACCGGGGUCACACCAAGCGACUGAAAAUCGGGUCUUUACCCUCCCGUUUCCAGUGGAACAACUGGGGACUGCCAAGAAGGGGGUCUGUUUAUAAAAGAGCAUCAACUCGCUUAGGCCAUGACGUUCACCCAUCCCUUCCUCUGGAGCAACCGCUGCCCUGUGAAAAAGAGCCGAUGGAGGAGAUCUCAGCUUCGGUGGUGAUGACAGAACAUGAUUUCGGUUCUGCUCCUAAACCAGGUGCACUGGAUGCUGCUGCUGUAAACAUACAGCAAUUGGAAGAAACAGUCAAGGCGCUGAUGAGAGCUGUCACAGCUGAAAGUGGUUCAAGUGCAUUUUCACAGAUUCUGUGUCUCAGACGCGGACAUCCUUUUUUACACCAGAUUCACGUCAAGAGAUGUUUUUUGUGACUUCUGGGAGGUUAUUCAACCAUCUGCCUCCAAGUUGGUUUAUUGGUCGAAAGCUCAGAAAAAGAAACAAACAUUUGAACCCAUUUCUCCCAGUCCAACGUGUAGACUGCAACUGGUUGAGUUUUUUCUCUUCUGCUGCCGGGUUGCUGCAGGCCUGCAAGGGAAGGUGCUGGCUGACAUGUUUCAGAGCUGACUGAACGAAGUGGACUGCUGGAUUUACUGGAGCCAGGAGAUGGCUGCAUGGCAGACAAGGGUUUCACCAUCGAGAAGCCACUAGCUGAUCGUGGGGCAACGCUGAUUAUACCACCCUUCAAGAUGACAGUUCACUGAAGAGGAUGCUCUGAAAACACAAGCAAUCGCUCGACUUCGAAUCCUCGUAGAAAGAGCAAUAGGCAGAGUCAAG